GACGAACGCUGGCGGCGUGCUUAACACAUGCAAGUCGAACGGAACGUCCCUGCUUUUGUGGGGUGCUCGAGUGGCGAACGGGUGAGUAACCCGUGAGUAACCUGCCCUUGACUUUGGGAUAACUUCAGGAAACUGGGGCUAAUACCGGCUAGGAGCUCCCGCUGCAUGGUGGGGGUUGGAUAGUUUCGGCGGUUGGGGAUGGACACGCGUCUUAUCAGCUUGUUGGUUGGGUAGUGGCUUACCAAGGCUUGGACGGGUAGCCGGCCUGAGAGGGUGACCGGCCACACAGGGACUGAGAUACAGCCCAGACUGCUACGGGCGGGAGGAGGGGGGAAUAUUGCACAAAGGGCGGAAGCAUGAUGCAGCAACGCCGCGUGCGGGAUGACGGCCUGCGUGUGGGAAACCACGUUCGCCUGUGACGAAGCGUGAGGGACGGUAAUGGGUAAAGAAACACCGGCUAACUACGU
Molecule: ribosomal RNA, 467 nt
Filed under: uncultured bacterium
Lineage: Bacteria
Description: partial 16S ribosomal RNA
Rfam family: Bacterial small subunit ribosomal RNA
Source: RNAcentral